RNAcentral lists this transfer RNA (64 nucleotides) under Callithrix jacchus (white-tufted-ear marmoset). It matches the Rfam family "tRNA". From Rfam's summary of the family: Transfer RNA (tRNA) molecules are approximately 80 nucleotides in length. Their secondary structure includes four short double-helical elements and three loops (D, anti-codon, and T loops). Lineage: Eukaryota; Metazoa; Chordata; Mammalia; Primates; Cebidae. The record is from Rfam by way of RNAcentral.
GGAAUGGUAGCUAAGAGCGCAUGCUCUGGAGCCAGUGGCCUGGGUUUGAAUCCCAGCUUUUCCA